GAGGUGCUUCUAAAAACUACUCAAAAAGUCUUAAGGCCAGCAAAAGAUAUGGUGUCUAGGGUGGCAUGUCCCCGUUCCCCACUCUGCAGUCCUUCGAGGAUCCGAGCUUCCGGAGCUGAUGGCCUUGCGCCCCCGGGACGCGGGAGCCUCUGGCCAGUCGACCUCGCUCAAGGAGGAAGAGGUGCUGGACACACACCGAGAAGACCAUGGAAAUCCGGUUGUCUGAACAGGGUUUAUCAACUGGAGGACAUGCUGUAAGACGCUCUCACUGAGGCAUUCCAGUGGGAGGCUCCUGUCAGUAUCUUUAAGUCUUUUCUUCCAGAAUAUUCAUUUACACAGAGAAAAACAUCCUAUCCUCUCCAGAAGACGCAACGCUGGUUGCAGCAUUCCGAGAAAAGCCCAAAGGGUGGGACAGACAUAAUUCACUGUUCAGCAAGGGUUUCAUUUUUUUGUUUGUUUUUGUGUGUAUGUGUGAUCAAAACAUACAGUCAAUGUUUAAAUAAAAAACAUAUUACAGUAAAA
Molecule: long non-coding RNA, 522 nt
Organism: Cavia porcellus (domestic guinea pig)
Lineage: Eukaryota; Metazoa; Chordata; Mammalia; Rodentia; Caviidae
Exons: 2
Source: RefSeq, a predicted model, not a curated record